Molecule: long non-coding RNA, 3149 nt
Filed under: Podarcis lilfordi (Lilford's wall lizard)
Lineage: Eukaryota; Metazoa; Chordata; Lepidosauria; Squamata; Lacertidae
Source: RNAcentral
AGUAACUUUGAGACUGAAAGAUUAUUCCCUAGUAAGACAGUUCCAGUGAUACAUUUUCAGUAAUACUGCUAAGUAGCAAAUGGGACCUGCAACAAAAUGAAUGUUUAUGGACAUUUCUUUUUAAAAACAGGAAUGGAGCUAUAAGAAAGGGGAAAUCACAAAGGAGGCGUAUACACAAGUAGUCAACAGUUGCAGGGUGAAGGCUGGCUAAAGCUCAGAAUGAGCUCAGGCUUGCAAGAGAAGUUAAAAAUAAUUAAAAAGGUGUCUUUGGCUAUGUCUGAAGUAAGUGGAAGAACAAGCAAGUGGUAGGUUCUCUGUGUGGGAGGAGAAAUGCUAUUGUGUGACAGAGAGAAGGCGGAACUACUCAACACCUACUUCUGGGGGGAGGGGCAUCUUCUCCCAACCCGUUUACAGCCAGUGUGGUGUAGGAUGACCUUGGGCUAGACUAGGCUUCCUCAACCUCAGCCCUCCAGAUGUUUUUGGCCUACAACUCCCAUGAUCCCUAGCUAGCAGGACCAGUGGUCAGGGAUGCUGGGAAUUGUAGUCUCAAAACAUCUGGAGGGCCAUGGUUGAGGAAGCCUGGGCUAGACACUAGCUCUCAGCUUCACGUAUUUCACAGACUUGUUGUGAGGAUAAAGUAGUGGGAUUCAGGUAUGCCAACCUGAGUUCCUUGCAUGAACAGUGGGAUAAAAAUGUACUAAAGAAUAAUAGUUGUUUGCACAUGGAAUCAGUUCCAACACAUCAGUGUACUGGAGCAGAGAUUCUGUGCCCUCAUAUCUUAUUUGUUUGUUUAAAGAUGUUCCUCAGCUGCUCUUAAUCAUAGUCAAUCCUAGAGUCCAAUGCAUAACACAAACAUUCAGUUAAAGAAAGUGAGUGUGGUGUAGUGGUUACAGAGUCCUAUUAGGACCUGGGAGACCAGGAUCCAAAUCCCCAUUCAGCCAAAAAAGCCCACUGGGUGACCUUGGUUAGUUACUAUUUCUCAGCCUAACCUACCUCUCGAGGUUGUUGUGGGGAUAAAAUGCGGAGAUGGAGACAUGUGCAUGGCACCUUAAACUCCCUGGAUAUAAGGUGGGAUGAACGUAGCAGCAGCAGCAGCAACAACAACAACAACCAUCACACACAGAACUAUUCAUCAUAAAGAAUAAUAGCACUUAAAAACCAAAGAAAGUACUACCAAACUGUGGGGUGGGUUACACAUCCUCCAUCAAAAGAUGAUAUAAUAAGUUGCAUACGUCUGGGCAAAUAAAUGAUACAUCUCUUGAUGCCAAGUGUGCUUCCAGGUGAUCUCUUGCACAGGUGAUCAGGGCAACCAUGAACUAACCCCUUUUAGCCACUGUCUUGUAGGAAUAGCUAUCUCCCUUCCUUCCUGUUGGGUCUCAUGUCACCACACUUCCUCCAUUUUCCUUUGAUUUGCUUGGCCUUGGCCUUUGAAGAGGUUCACUGUGACAGAGUUUAAAACACACAUCACUGCAUGGAUCCAGCAAAUCCAUUGCACAAGGCCAGCUUAGAAUGAAUGAAAAAUUCUGGGAGCAGAGGGUGGGAAAUAUCUCCAGCUUGGCAUGGAAUCAUUCUCAGGUGGCUACAGCAAGUUUGAACGCUCCACUAAAACUACAGAAGUCACAGCCCAAUACAUCAAAAGGGUUGUAGGUUACUUUCCGGUUUGCUGAUUAGGUAGUUUCAGGUUCUAGUUUUGUUUUUGCAUAAUCACUGUAGCUAGAGCCAAGUCAAAGCCGCCUUGAAAAUAAAGCACAGGACACAAUAGAAAUGAAACUAGAGUGCACUGCAGAUGGUGGAAAGUGGAAAACUCAUCUUUUGACCUUUGUGCGAUGCUGAGUUUCCAAUUCUCUCUGUCCGCUUGGCCCUCCAGACCCAGAGGCAGCUGCAGAUGUUUCAAAGACAAUGUGCAAUACUGAUUUAUAGGAGACAGCAUGUUCCCUUAUGUACUCCUGCCUCAGCACAAUUAUCUUUGAAUAGUAAGAAGCCCGAUUCACCUUCCAACUUUUCAUUGUUCUGUAUGGAAAUGGGAGAUGCCACUAAACAGAUGCUAUCUCUGGAACACAACAGAAAAGUCUUAGUUGAAGGGCUUUGGAAUAGGCUGAUAAGCAUCAACCACUGAGUGAUCCAAGCCUCUGCAAUCUUAAUUCAUAUUCUUGCUCAUUUGUUGUUGCUAAACAUAUUUAGCAGAAAAAGAGCAGAUUUCAUGUAGGCCUGGGAUAAGCAACUUGGUACCCUCCAGGUGUUGUGAACUACAACUUCCACCAGUCCCAACCAGGAUGGGCAGUGGUCAGGGAUGAUGGGAGCUGCAGCCCACAUCAUCUGGAGCAGACUUUCUCAACCAUGGGUGCCCAGGUGUUGUUGGACUACAACUCCCAUCAUCCCUAACUAGCAGGACCGGUGGUUAGGGAUGAUGGAGGGUUGUAGUCCAAUAACAUCUGGGGACCCAAGGUUGAGAAAGGCUGAUCUGGGGGGUACUAUUUUAGCUACCCUGAUGCUCCUACCUGUGCCUAUAGUAUGACAUCAGGUGUGGUGUCUGUGGGUUUGAGGACUCAUGGUCUGAGAUCGGGCCCCUAUUUGGCUUAACUGGGCUCACAGGCUGGAGAUUCCCCACCAGUGGUCUAAAGGCAUAUGAUGCAGUAACCCUGACAGUGCUAAGCAGGUGAGCACCUGGUCAUUUCCUGGAUGAAAGCCUAAUAUAUGCUGUUUCAAGUUUAAUUGUGGGAAAAUGUGGAGUAUGAUAGAAAGAAGAUUCUAUCUGCAUUCUAAUCACACACUUUUCCUGACAUUUAUUGGCCUUAUGCUUCAGUUGAAAUGGGAAAUUAUUACUAAUACUUUUUUUGUCACUUUGGGCUAGAUUUGUACACAACAGGAUCUCUCAGUUACAUAUGCUUUGAAAAUAUAUAUUCAUAUGCUAUUGUUUUGUUUCUGAAUAGGCCAAAACCUGUUUCCCCGAGUUCAGAAAACGAUGUCUGCAUUAAAGUCACUGUUCUUUGUAGGCUCUCUGCGGCAUUUCCCAGCGUGCCUCCUGCGCAGGUGGGCAGAAUUAUUUGCUCCCAGCCCAGAACAAUUCUGCUUGCUGCUUUGUGAGCAGCACAACAUUUUGUCACACGCUUUUGAAAAUGUGUUUUUCGCAUGACCCCAGUUGGUGAGGA